UGGGGAAUAUUGGACAAUGGGCGAAAGCCUGAUCCAGCCAUGCCGCGUGAGUGAUGAAGGCCUUAGGGUUGUAAAGCUCUUUUAGCAGGGAAGAUAAUGACGGUACCUGCAGAAAAAGCCCCGGCUAACUUCGUGCCAGCAGCCGCGGUAAUACGAAGGGGGCUAGCGUUGCUCGGAAUUACUGGGCGUAAAGCGCACGUAGGCGGACUCUUAAGUCGGUGGUGAAAUCCUGGAGCUCAACUCCAGAACUGCCUUCGAUACUGGGAGUCUUGAGUUCGGGAGAGGUGAGUGGAACUGCGCGUGUAGAGGUGAAAUUCGUAGAUAUUCGCAAGAACACCAGUGGCGAAGGCGGCUCACUGGCCCGAUACUGACACUGGGGUGCGAAAGCGUGGGGAGCAAAC
RNAcentral lists this ribosomal RNA (401 nucleotides) under uncultured bacterium. RNAcentral's name for it is "bacterial SSU rRNA". It matches the Rfam family "Bacterial small subunit ribosomal RNA", at positions 355 to 773 of the family's 1533-position model. The record is from RNAcentral.